GGGAGGGGCUGAGGUCAUCAGUGCACAAUGGUCAGGCCCGGAGUUUCAGUCCUUGUGACCUUGUGACCUUUGAAGAACGACAGAAGGAAUCGAGGGGCGUCGUGGCGACCGGGUUAGGUUUAUCUGCUGCUCUGGCUCCUUGCUCCUAGACCUAGGGGCGGGCCCCUAGUUAUGCGGCGUGCAGGCGACGGGAAGCGCUUGUCGUGAGCAGCAGCGAUGAGAUCAGUUUGCAUAACCACAGCGUCGGGGUGGGGAGUGCAGCCAGUCACGCAGCCACCACCCGACCCGGCUCAGGCUCUGCCCAGGUGGCAGCGGCUGCCCCACGGAUUUGGGUAGCUGGAGGUGGUCCUGCCCCUUCAAGGCCAGGGCCUGCUGGGGUGUCAGAAUCAUUCCAAGGGAGUGUCCAGGAGGCAGUGGGGAGGAGGGGAGCCACACACACACAAAAAACCCCCGCAACCUUCAGGGUUUGCAGACUGGAUUCUAUUAGGCAGGUUUCCAGACACAGUGAAAACCACUGUGCCUAGUAGGUAACUUCAAAGACCACUAUCAUGGAAAUCAAAGGUCAUUAAAAGGGGCCUUUAAUUUGUUUAUAUUAUUUCGCCUAGCAGUCUUUCCUAUGUGUGCAUGAAAUUUAAUUUAUGCAUUCAAGUCUGGAAUCCUGCUUUAGCAAGGGAAACAAUUAUGAAUUCAGUUAAGAGUAUGGGUACAAACGGAUUACUUAAAAGAACAAUGAACUGGGAAAAAAAAAUUCCAGCUCCUAACAAGAAGGCCAUUACAUUCAGCUUUUCACGGUUUUGAACAUCUUGUGCGGGCUCAACAAUAAUACGUGGAGGAAGCUUCUAAUUAGGCAUUUAAAACGCUAGCAUUUACGCCAGGAAAACGUCAAGAAUGCCUUAUGUUAUAGACAUGUGAAUACCAUCUACAUAUAUAAGAGAUAUACCUUGUAAUCUUGUGCUGAACACCAGGCACACUCUACCUGUAGCAGGUUCUGAGGUAAAACAGGUCUUUGGUUUGGGUUCAAACUUUCUAUGAGUAUCCAAGAAGAACCUUGAACUUCUGAUCAUCCUUCUUCUACCCCCAAUGACAGGAAACAUUGACCACAAAAUCUGGUUUUCUGCGGUGCUGUUGGCUAAUUGCAUAGCUUUGAACAGGGUGGUGUUUUUGCAAAAAAAACGAUCCCGAACUCUCCCUAAUGUGUAGCUGUGGGUCUCUGUCUGCAUCUGCCUCCAUCAGAUGCUUCUGAUGACAAUUGUGCCAGGCACCAAUCUGGUCAAAGGAGACGGUCUAUUCAGGCUACAUAUCAAAGAUGGUCUUCUAGAAAUGGGCUCUUUCCCACAGAGUUUGGAUACAUAUUGGAAAACUGCCCCAGAGCCCUGCCUGUCAGCUGCCUGUCACUGACAUUCCUACUGGAUCUCUUUCCUGCCCUCUGACACCUCCUGGAAGUCCAUAAUCCCUGGAUCAGUGUCCUUAGCCUACAAAGUGGUUUGGAGAAGAUAUUCGCUCAAGUGCCCAGGUCUGGAGAAUCUAAACUUUGCAACACUCUUCUGGAGACAGCCUGGUCCUUUCUCACUGUGAAUAUUGGAAAGUUUCUAGUCAGAGAGCCUGGGUCUAAUAGGAAUCAUUGACAGACCCAGAGAAAUCCUUUGGAGCCAUGUGCCUCAGGUCUGUCCCACACAACCUUUACCCAGUCCCACCACAUUCUCUCAAAGAGGCCAAAGUUCACACAGUCCCUGAGCUGCCGAGGUUAAAGCUGAGAAAGGCCCCAUGAUCCUAUGUGCUUCUGAGUGUAUGCCCAACCAGGAAGGAGCAGAGCUGACAGAGGAGCUUAUGCAGGUAGUCCUUAGUGGGCUGCUCUUGGUUUUCAAAUCUAGAUGGCCACACCCAAGAGUGACUUGAGAGUUUCUCGGUGGGGUGCUUGGGAACAGCUACCUAGCUGGUGUGGUUAUUAUUCAGCCUCCAAAGCUGCUCUUUCACAGCAUGUUACAUAAGCUUGAGAAAACACUAUUUUCUCUAUUAAAGAACCAGGGAAGGUGAUCCUGAUGGGGAUAAAAUGUGUCCAAGGCAUAGCACUCAUGCAAAAAACAGUCUACAUGUAACUUCUACAUAAGAAAUGAACAGCAGACUCCUGAGAAACACUCGUUCUCUGGCAACAAAGGGGAACUUCCUUCAAAUAUUUAAUUAAAUAAGGCUGAGGAAUAUUUUCCGGAGGGAAAAUUUAGUUGCUGUCCCCUGUAUCUUUCAGGAUAUAUAUAUGGAAAGUGCAAAUGACAUUGUCUUCCUGGUGCCAGGCCAGUGAAUGGGUGGCACAAAAUGUUAAAUACCAAGUCAUUACUGAAGUUUCCCACAUGGCUGAAUCCAAUUAAUUAGGCCUAGCCAAACCUGCCAGCCGCACCCAGGACCCAGCUGAAUAACCCUUAGGAUUCAGGAACGCCCCUUCAACAAACACUCAUCUGUUGCUACCUGUGUUCAGCGAGUCAUUGCAGAUUCUUCCUGACAGAGCUUCCUCAACGAAAUCCAAAGCCUCUGCUUUAGAGCGCAUUAAAAAAAAAAAAGUUCUUUAAACCAUUUUACAGAUGGUGGUUUGUAUUUCUUUCUGAUCCAUGGUUUGCUCACAGCCAAGGAUAAUAUAACUCACUUUUUUAGGCCUGAGUCUGAAAAAGGGACUGGAUAGUUUCUUACAGCUCUAUCUGUUUUCCUUAAAGUUGACGUAAAUCUUCUUUUCUCUUCAAACAAAGCCUGUGGACUGUUAGCAGAAUGUGUCAGAAAUGCCUCUGGGCCCUGAGCUUUGGACAUGUCUCAGAGAGAUCUGGGGUAUCCUGGAGCAAACUCACGUCCCUGGGUCCCAAAGGUCCCAAAAGUACACUGGACUCACUGUUUCCACCAAGCCACCUUUAUUGAAUGCCAAUUACUGCCAGGUACUAGAUGGAAAAUAGAGUCACCCUUUAUGAUCUCCUAGGCUUCCCUUUUAGUUGAUGGGAAGGUAGGGAAGGAAC
RNAcentral lists this long non-coding RNA (2993 nucleotides) under Cricetulus griseus (Chinese hamster). Its description in RNAcentral is "lncRNA (ENSCGRG00015042077.1)". The record is from RNAcentral. Lineage: Eukaryota; Metazoa; Chordata; Mammalia; Rodentia; Cricetidae.